UACGAAGGGGGCUAGCGUUGUUCGGAAUUACUGGGCGUAAAGCGCGCGCAGGCGGUCUUCCAAGUCAGUGGUGAAAGCCUGGAGCUCAACUCCAGAACUGCCAUUGAAACUGUUAGACUUGAGUACGAGAGAGGUGAGUGGAAUUCCCAGUGUAGAGGUGAAAUUCGUAGAUAUUGGGAAGAACACCAGUGGCGAAGGCGGCUCACUGGCUCGUAACUGACGCUCAAGCGCGACAGCGUGGGGAUCAAACAGG
Molecule: ribosomal RNA, 253 nt
Filed under: uncultured bacterium
Lineage: Bacteria
Description: partial 16S ribosomal RNA
Rfam family: Bacterial small subunit ribosomal RNA
Source: RNAcentral